RNAcentral lists this ribosomal RNA (253 nucleotides) under uncultured bacterium. Its description in RNAcentral is "partial 16S ribosomal RNA". It matches the Rfam family "Bacterial small subunit ribosomal RNA", at positions 524 to 776 of the family's 1533-position model. The record is from RNAcentral.
UACGAAGGGGGCAAGCGUUGUUCGGAAUUACUGGGCGUAAAGCGCGCGUAGGCGGACUGUCAAGUCAGAGGUGAAAUCCCGGGGCUUAACCCCGGAACUGCCUUUGAAACUGGUAGUCUGGAGUCCUGGAGGGGUUAGUGGAAUUCCGAGUGUAGAGGUGAAAUUCGUAGAUAUUCGGAAGAACACCGGUGGCGAAGGCGGCGCCCUGGACCGGUACUGACGCUGAGGCGCGAAAGCGUGGGGAGCAAACAGG